Long non-coding RNA from Cervus elaphus (red deer), 1362 nucleotides. RefSeq lists it as uncharacterized. The transcript is spliced from 3 exons. The record is from RefSeq and is a predicted model, not a curated record. Lineage: Eukaryota; Metazoa; Chordata; Mammalia; Artiodactyla; Cervidae.
AGGGAUCAAACCCUCACACCUCCAGUGGGAACAUAAAGUCUUAACCACUGAACCACCAGAGCAGUUUCUGAACCUCCUUCUUUUAAAAGGCACAAGGAUGGACUGAACUUCUUCAUCCCCCUGAAGAUAAGCAUGGCCACAAGACAUGCUCUAGCCAAUGAAUAUGAUCAGGAAACUAGAUCUCACAUGCCACAAUGAACAGUUGCAUGCCCCAACUAAAGAUCCCACAUGCUGCAACUAAGACCCAGUGGAGUCAAAUAAAUACAUAAACAUAUAAAGAUUUUUAAAGUAAUAAGCCAAAAGCUGAAGAUUCUUGGACAUUUUGAAUCUCAUCAGAGGCCUGGGACUCUGAGUGCUAAAAACUCAUUAUCCAGGGUGUUCUUCUUUCUGAACAAUCAAGAGAAGGUAGAAUUCGGUCAAAACAAUUCUGUACCUUCAGGUUUCCAAACGGAUAACUGGAAAGAAUCUAGACUUCUUAGGAUCUAACAAAAACUCUCCUGAAAUUAGAAGUAUCUACUGAGUGCCCACUCUUUAUAUAUAAGAUGAUGUUUGACAUUGUGGGAGAUGCUUAGCAGUAGAGAAGCCUUUUCUUUCUUUCAAGGAACUUACAACCUAAUUAGUGAGUUCAAACUGAACAUCAGGAAACAUCAACUCAUAUUUUUUUCUUAAAAAACUUCAGGUAAUGAUAAACAUGAUGCCAUGAAGCAGUGCAAUCAGUGACCAAAUUCACCGUGUAUAAAAAUCCCUAUAGAUGGGCUGAAGGAACUCUAUCACCACUACAAACCCAACAGUAGUUUGCACCCUACUUUAUCCUCACAUCCACUGUUAAUGUACUGUCAGUACCUUACAGCUGAGACUGGUACAACUGGAAGAGUCAGAGAGGAUACUCAGGCUCUCAAGGCACAUAGCAGCAGAAGAAAGAGUUCCUUAAAUUCUUGGCAGUUUAUAACCAAAAGCAAAUAAGCUGCUUUGUGAGGCCUGCCUCGUUUGGCCACAUGCCCUCAGUGUAACAGUGAAGAGACUAGAGGAAGGCUAAGGCCCAAGACCAGUAAACUGUAGCAGCUACCUGGCCAUCACACCCUGCACGCCCCCCUCACCCCUGCUCCAGAUGACUGGCAGUAACAGGCAAGGGUGCUGCCAACUCACUGGGAAACAGGUAAGCUCCUCACUGCUCAUAAGUUAUGGCACCCAGAGGGAGCCCUCGAGAAUCUGCCUUGGGAUUAAAGUAUAAGCCAGAUCUUAUUAAGAAAAAUUUGAUUAUAACAAGGAGACUGGUACCUAAUUCAACGACUCCCCUCCCCUCCCUUAGCCUGGCCCAAACAAACCUGUGCUGUACAAAAAUCGCAUGACAUCAUGGUUCAA